RNAcentral lists this signal recognition particle RNA (299 nucleotides) under Saimiri boliviensis boliviensis (Bolivian squirrel monkey). RNAcentral's name for it is "Metazoan signal recognition particle RNA (ENSSBOG00000005189.1)". It matches the Rfam family "Metazoan signal recognition particle RNA". From Rfam's summary of the family: The signal recognition particle (SRP) is a universally conserved ribonucleoprotein. Lineage: Eukaryota; Metazoa; Chordata; Mammalia; Primates; Cebidae. The record is from RNAcentral.
GCCAGAUGCAGUGGCGUGUGCCUGUAGUCCCAGCUACUCGUGAGGCUGAGGUGGGAGGAUCACUUGAGCCCAGGAGUUCUAGACUGUAGUGCACUAUGCCAGUUGGGUUUCUGCAUUAAGUUCGGCAUCAAUAUGGUGACCUCCCAGGAGCAGGGGGCCACCUGGUUGCCUAAGGAGGGGCGAACCAGCCCAGGUUGUAAACGGAGCAGGUUAAAACUCCCCUGCUGAAGAGUAGUAGGAUUGCCCCUGUGACUAGCCACUGCACUCCAGCCUGGGCAGCAUACAGAGACCCCAUCUCU